Dromiciops gliroides (monito del monte) is the source of this 107-nucleotide small nuclear RNA. The record is from RefSeq and is a predicted model, not a curated record. Lineage: Eukaryota; Metazoa; Chordata; Mammalia; Microbiotheria; Microbiotheriidae.
GUGCUUGCUUUGGCACCACAUAUACUAAAAUUGGAAUGAUACAGAGAAGAUUAAAAUGGCCCCUGUGAGGGGAUGACAUGCAAAUUCAUGAACCAUUCCAUAUUUUC